Molecule: non-coding RNA, 94 nt
Organism: Lyophyllum atratum
Lineage: Eukaryota; Fungi; Basidiomycota; Agaricomycetes; Agaricales; Lyophyllaceae
Source: the annotation of a GenBank genome assembly
GCAUUAAUGGGGUAGUGGUAACCUGGGUCGUUGCCAUGGGCGUGAAUGUGUAAUCGACGUCGACCCGCCGGGAGUUCGAUUCUCUCUUAAUGCA